This 1564-nucleotide ribosomal RNA is filed under the name Escherichia coli. Its description in RNAcentral is "partial 23S ribosomal RNA". It matches the Rfam family "Bacterial large subunit ribosomal RNA", at positions 1270 to 2819 of the family's 2925-position model. Lineage: Bacteria; Pseudomonadati; Pseudomonadota; Gammaproteobacteria; Enterobacterales; Enterobacteriaceae. The record is from RNAcentral.
AUGCUGGAGGUAUCAGAAGUGCGAAUGCUGACAUAAGUAACGAUAAAGCGGGUGAAAAGCCCGCUCGCCGGAAGACCAAGGGUUCCUGUCCAACGUUAAUCGGGGCAGGGUGAGUCGACCCCUAAGGCGAGGCCGAAAGGCGUAGUCGAUGGGAAACAGGUUAAUAUUCCUGUACUUGGUGUUACUGCGAAGGGGGGACGGAGAAGGCUAUGUUGGCCGGGCGACGGUUGUCCCGGUUUAAGCGUGUAGGCUGGUUUUCCAGGCAAAUCCGGAAAAUCAAGGCUGAGGCGUGAUGACGAGGCACUACGGUGCUGAAGCAACAAAUGCCCUGCUUCCAGGAAAAGCCUCUAAGCAUCAGGUAACAUCAAAUCGUACCCCAAACCGACACAGGUGGUCAGGUAGAGAAUACCAAGGCGCUUGAGAGAACUCGGGUGAAGGAACUAGGCAAAAUGGUGCCGUAACUUCGGGAGAAGGCACGCUGAUAUGUAGGUGAAGUCCCUCGCGGAUGGAGCUGAAAUCAGUCGAAGAUACCAGCUGGCUGCAACUGUUUAUUAAAAACACAGCACUGUGCAAACACGAAAGUGGACGUAUACGGUGUGACGCCUGCCCGGUGCCGGAAGGUUAAUUGAUGGGGUCAGCGCAAGCGAAGCUCUUGAUCGAAGCCCCGGUAAACGGCGGCCGUAACUAUAACGGUCCUAAGGUAGCGAAAUUCCUUGUCGGGUAAGUUCCGACCUGCACGAAUGGCGUAAUGAUGGCCAGGCUGUCUCCACCCGAGACUCAGUGAAAUUGAACUCGCUGUGAAGAUGCAGUGUACCCGCGGCAAGACGGAAAGACCCCGUGAACCUUUACUAUAGCUUGACACUGAACAUUGAGCCUUGAUGUGUAGGAUAGGUGGGAGGCUUUGAAGUGUGGACGCCAGUCUGCAUGGAGCCGACCUUGAAAUACCACCCUUUAAUGUUUGAUGUUCUAACGUGGACCCGUAAUCCGGGUUGCGGACAGUGUCUGGUGGGUAGUUUGACUGGGGCGGUCUCCUCCUAAAGAGUAACGGAGGAGCACGAAGGUUGGCUAAUCCUGGUCGGACAUCAGGAGGUUAGUGCAAUGGCAUAAGCCAGCUUGACUGCGAGCGUGACGGCGCGAGCAGGUGCGAAAGCAGGUCAUAGUGAUCCGGUGGUUCUGAAUGGAAGGGCCAUCGCUCAACGGAUAAAAGGUACUCCGGGGAUAACAGGCUGAUACCGCCCAAGAGUUCAUAUCGACGGCGGUGUUUGGCACCUCGAUGUCGGCUCAUCACAUCCUGGGGCUGAAGUAGGUCCCAAGGGUAUGGCUGUUCGCCAUUUAAAGUGGUACGCGAGCUGGGUUUAGAACGUCGUGAGACAGUUCGGUCCCUAUCUGCCGUGGGCGCUGGAGAAUUGAGGGGGGCUGCUCCUAGUACGAGAGGACCGGAGUGGACGCAUCACUGGUGUUCGGGUUGUCAUGCCAAUGGCACUGCCCGGUAGCUAAAUGCGGAAGAGAUAAGUGCUGAAAGCAUCUAAGCACGAAACUUGCCCCGAGAUGAGUUCUCCCUGAC